Molecule: transfer RNA, 67 nt
Filed under: Neomphalidae sp. Hatoma
Lineage: Eukaryota; Metazoa; Mollusca; Gastropoda; Neomphalida; Neomphalidae
Description: tRNA-Val
Source: RNAcentral
AAAGGAAUAGCAUAAUUAAUGCAAUUCACUUACAUUGAAUAGAUAGUUUGAAUUUGACUUUCCUUUA